UUCUCACCUAAGAGAAGUGAAAUGGAAGC
Molecule: non-coding RNA, 29 nt
Filed under: Mus musculus (house mouse)
Lineage: Eukaryota; Metazoa; Chordata; Mammalia; Rodentia; Muridae
Source: RNAcentral